Molecule: long non-coding RNA, 459 nt
Organism: Erpetoichthys calabaricus (reedfish)
Lineage: Eukaryota; Metazoa; Chordata; Cladistia; Polypteriformes; Polypteridae
Exons: 2
Source: RefSeq, a predicted model, not a curated record
GCCGAGGAGCAUUAUGGUCUCUACUUGUGACGUCAGUAGUUCUUCCGGGACAGGAAACUGCUCGAUACUGCUGGGAGAGAAAACAAAGUUGAGAAGAAAUACACCCAGAGGGAAACUUACCACGCUUCUUCUUGUCAAAGCACCACAAAGCUCAACCGCAGGAUUAGGAGAUGUCACUUGGAGAUCUGGGAGAACCGCAGGACGGAGCUCCAGCAAUCUAAUAGAUUUUUCUAAAGAAAACCUUUGUGAGGAGCCAGUAGUGGCAAUAUCCUGAUUGGAACCUUAAUCCUUUGUUUUUUUUAGCCAUCAAGCAACUUUUGUGUUAUUAUAUUAAACGGGAUAACUGGGUUGACUCCCCAACUUUUAUUUUUUGUGCCUUUUCUGCUUGAAAGACCACAUUGCAUAUUGUACUUUAUAAGUAGAAACUUGUUUUAACGAAUAAUAAAGUAGUUUUCUGUG